GAUUGAAUAUUGGGGGGCAGGGAGGAGUACAUUAAAGGGUACCUAAAUACUAGGAAGCUACCUUGGAGGCUGACUACCACAUGCCCUCUAUCCCAUUUUGAAUAUUAAGCUUUCAAAUGUUGUAAUUAUUUACCAGGCUCGGUAGAGUGGCUAUAGAAUACAGAAGAGAUGGAUAGAAAUUACACAUUUGAUUUAGAUGAGUCCAUGUGAGUGGGCCAUCUUGAAAGUGGAUCCUCCAGCCCAAGUCAAGCCUUCAGAUGCCUACAGACCAAGCUGACAUCUACUUAUCCUCAGGAGAGAUCUCAAGCCAAAACCACCCAGCCAAACUGCUCCUGAACUCCGACAUGCACAACCCGACUGAGACACCACUAUAUUUAAGAUAAAGAAAUCAGACAACUUGAAGCAUACACAAAACCAGAAGGCAAUUUAACAUAUCUGCCUGGAGGCAAGAAGAGAAACCAAAGAACUUCUAACACCUGUUCUUCUAGCUAGAAAAUAGAGAAGAGAUGACAAUAUUAACAAUUGCUUGCCAGCUUCAAAUUCCCACAAAUUUAUGAAUAUGAAGCCAGUUUCCAAAAGAAAAUAUAGUUCAAUAAACUGUGUAACAUAUGAUCACUAAAGUGAUCUUUUACCUUAAUGAUAUAAAAAUAAGCCAUUAAGAAGUUCUAAAACCCAAAUGCAUCAACACUGAUGGCAAUUAAAAAUUAAUUACUGAACCAA
This is a long non-coding RNA of Homo sapiens (human), 720 nucleotides long. Ensembl annotates it as NADK2 antisense RNA 1. Its record names the gene NADK2-AS1. Lineage: Eukaryota; Metazoa; Chordata; Mammalia; Primates; Hominidae. The record is from Ensembl.